UUUAACUUGGGGAAGCAUAAAAUAUUACAAAUGAAGGGGAUUCUUAUCUAAUAGAAUUGUCUUCAACUAACUUCUUUUGUUACAGAAUAUUUCUUUUAGCUUGGGGAAUACAGGAUAUUUCUUUUAGCUUGGGGAAGCAUAAAAUAUUACAGAUGAAGGGGAUUCUUAUCUAAUAGAAUUGUCUUUAACUAAUUUCUUUUGAUAGUUGUCUAGCCUCUACUGAAUAUCUUUAGUGCUGACACUCUCACUUCUUUUGUUUACAGUGAGAGUAAGGAAGGCCAUUUUACCCAGAAUGGGUGGGCCUGGGCACAGAGGAGGAGUAAUAUAGAUUUUGACAUAAGAGAAAGGAUGAGUUUAUUGGGGUUUGCUCUGUGGAUGUUCUAACCUCACAUCUAGGAGAGGUUCCCCUAUGCUAACAAAGGCUGGUCUUGCCAAAAUUUUGCACUAAUAAUGCAGGUAUACACACGGUCUGUGAUUGAACCACUUCCUGUCACUCCAACUCGGGACGUGGCUACAUCUCCCAUUUCACCUACUGAAAAUAACACCACUCCACCAGAUGCUUUGACCCGGAAUACUGAGAAGCAGAAGAAGAAGCCUAAAAUGUCUGAUGAGGAGAUCUUGGAGAAAUUACGAAGCAUAGUGAGUGUGGGCGAUCCUAAGAAGAAAUAUACACGGUUUGAGAAGAUUGGACAAGGUGCUUCAGGCACCGUGUACACAGCAAUGGAUGUGGCCACA
This 735-nucleotide small RNA is filed under the name Pan troglodytes (chimpanzee). Its description in RNAcentral is "retained intron". The record is from RNAcentral. Lineage: Eukaryota; Metazoa; Chordata; Mammalia; Primates; Hominidae.